RNAcentral lists this ribosomal RNA (1200 nucleotides) under Triticum aestivum (bread wheat). RNAcentral describes it as "partial small subunit ribosomal RNA". Lineage: Eukaryota; Viridiplantae; Streptophyta; Magnoliopsida; Poales; Poaceae. The record is from RNAcentral.
AUGCAGUUUUUAUCUGAAGAAGAAGCAUAUUGCUUCUAUAACAAGUAUGUUUAUUCCUUGGGUUUUAGCAUCCGAAGAGGCAAUCAUCAUAAAGUAAAAAAUUCCAGUACAAUACAACAACGGACAUUCACAUGUUCUCGUCAAGGAGUUCGUGCGGAAGAUAAAAGAGAGGAGAAAUUCAGUUAUAGUAGGCCUGAGACACGAUGUGGUUGUGAUGCACGUAUGAAGAUAAGUCUUAGUAAUGGGACUUAUUAUGUAUACGAAUUUAAAGAAGCCCAUAACCAUAGUCUUGCUACUGGAAACAUGCCGCAAUACUUAAGAUCACACAGGAAAGUAACUGAAGCUCAACUAGCCAAUGCCGAGGUCGCAAAGUCAGUGGGCAUUUCAAAUAAAGCAACUAUUGAUCUAAUAACGGAAGAAGCAUGUGGACCUGAAAACCUUGGCUUCAUAAGUACUGACAUGAAAAAUCGUUUGUACUCAAAGAGAACACUAAAAGCAAAGGUCGGUGACACGGGUGGAGUGUUAGAAUAUAUGGAGAAGAAGGUUUCAGAAGAUGUCAAGUUUUUUUAUUCAAUUCAAGUUGAUGAGGAUGAUUUGAUAACUAAUAUAUUUUGGACGGACUUCAAAAUGGUCUCAGACUAUGCAUUAUUUGGUGAUGUCAUAUGCUUUGACACCUCAUACAGAAAGCUAGACGAUGGGCAUCCGUUUGGUUUAAUUGUUGGCGUGAAUAAUCACAAGAAAACAAUUGUGUUUGGUGUUGCACUUCUCUAUGAUGAAACAACAGAAAGUUUUGCUUGGCUUUUUAGAACAUUUUUAACAGUAAUGUCUGGAAAGCAUCCACAUACAAUUCUGUCUGAUGAAGAUGCAGCAAUGGCUAAGGUGAUCCGUUCAGUCCUGCCUCACUCUCAUCAUAGACUUUGCGUGUGGUAUAUGAAUCAAAAUGCUGUCAAACAUCUUGGUGGAGUUGUUACAAAUUACAAGAAGUUCAAUGCUGAUUUUCAGCAUUGUAUCUAUGAUAUUGAGGAAGAUGAAUUUAUAAGUGCAUGGAAUGAAAUGCUUGACAAUACCCAGAGGAGUGAAAGCAUGAACAACGAACUAAAACGUUACAUUAGUUCUAAGUAUGACAUGCUUAUUUUUUUUGAGCAUUUCGAACAUCUAGUUGCAGAUAAAAGAUUUGAAGAGGUGAGAUGUGACUUCUAA